AUUGAACGCUGGCGGCAUGCCUUACACAUGCAAGUCGAACGGCAGCACGGGUGCUUGCACCUGGUGGCGAGUGGCGAACGGGUGAGUAAUACAUCGGAACAUGUCCUGUAGUGGGGGAUAGCCCGGCGAAAGCCGGAUUAAUACCGCAUACGAUCUACGGAUGAAAGCGGGGGACCUUCGGGCCUCGCGCUAUAGGGGUGGCCGAUGGCUGAUUAGCUAGUUGGUGGGGUAAAGGCCUACCAAGGCGACGAUCAGUAGCUGGUCUGAGAGGACGACCAGCCACACUGGGACUGAGACACGGCCCAGACUCCGACGGGAGGCAGCAGUGGGGAAUUUUGGACAAUGGGCGAAAGCCUGAUCCAGCAAUGCCGCGUGUGUGAAGAAGGCCUUCGGGUUGUAAAGCACUUUUGUCCGGAAAGAAAUCCUUGGCCCUAAUACGGUCGGGGGAUGACGGUACCGGAAGAAUAAGCACCGGCUAACUACGUG
This 486-nucleotide ribosomal RNA is filed under the name uncultured bacterium. Its description in RNAcentral is "partial 16S ribosomal RNA". It matches the Rfam family "Bacterial small subunit ribosomal RNA", at positions 29 to 507 of the family's 1533-position model. The record is from RNAcentral.